RNAcentral lists this ribosomal RNA (306 nucleotides) under uncultured bacterium. RNAcentral's name for it is "partial 16S ribosomal RNA". It matches the Rfam family "Bacterial small subunit ribosomal RNA", at positions 507 to 807 of the family's 1533-position model. The record is from RNAcentral.
GACAGCAGCCGCCACGGGAAUACGUAGGUGGCAAGCGUUGUCCGGAAUUAUUGGGCGUAAAGGGCUCGCAGGCGGUUUCUCAAGUCUGAUGUGAAAGCCCCCGGCUCAACCGGGGAGGGUCAUUGGAAACUGGGAAACUUGAGUGCAGAAGAAGAGAGUGGAAUUCCACGUGUAGCGGUGAAAUGCGUAGAGAUGUGGAGGAACACCAGUGGCGAAGGCGACUCUCUGGUCUGUAACUGACGCUGGGGAGCGAAAGCGUGGGGAGCGAACAGGAUUAGAUACCCGCGUAGUCCCUGUCUCUUAUAC